CAGAGAGUCUGUCCCUCCCUGCUCCACACCGACCACUACUCAGCACACUGACAGAACCAGAGAGUCUAUCCCUCCCUGCUCCACACCGACCACUACUCAGCACACUGACAGAACCAGAGAGUCUAUCCCUCCCUGCUCCACACUGACCACUACUCAGCAGACUGAUAGAACCAGAGAGGCUGUUGGAACAGAAGAAGCCCUCAGUCCCUCAACAACCCCACAGACGCCUAGAACCCCUCAGAAGCCUAGAAUCCCAGAGAACCCUAGAACUCCAGAGGCUAUAAUGCUUGAGAAGCCUAGAACACUGGAGAAGCCUAGAACACUGGAGAAGCCGAGAAUCCCAGACAACCCUAGAACUCCAGAGGCUAUAAUGAUAGAGAAGCCUAGAACACUGGAGAAGCCUAGAACACUGGAGAAUCCCAGAACACUGGAGAAGCCCAGAACACUGGAGAAGCCCAGAACACUGGAGCAGCCCAGAACACUGGAGAAGCCUAGAACACUGGAGAAGCCCAGAACACUGGAGAGGCCUAGAACCCCAGAAAAGCCUAAAGUGGUUGUUCUCUCUAGGCCACUGAGAGCAGUGGUUUUAAGUUCUAGCUCUCCUGCUGAGAACAGAGAACCAGCGUUACAGAACGGAGAACACACGCCUCGACAGGAGACCACACCCUGCCUCACCAACGGCCAACUAGAGCACUCAGCGUGUGCAAACACACUCACACACUCCCCUGCUACCCCCUCCUCCACCCCCCGCAAAGAGAAGCCUCCCAUUGCCCUAAAAAACCCUAAACUAUCCCUACUGAGGACACACCAGACAGACACACCAACCCCACCACCCGUACUCACAGGUACACCUCCACAGCCCUUUGUCCCAGAGACACCACCCUUUCUGGGGAUAAAAUUGGCACAGACAGAGUCCCAGACAGAGACCCAGCCAAAGCCAAAGCCUGAAUUCCCCUUCCUGAAACGCCACCAGUCAGAAUACUAUGUAGCGGAGUUACCACCAAGGCCCUCUCCUCCAGCACCCUGUGUACCAGAGUUACCACCAAGGCCCUCUCCUCCAGCACCCUGUGUACCAGAGUUACCACCAAGGCCCUCUCCUCCAGCACCCUGUGUACCAGAGUUACCACCAAGGCCCUCUCCUCCAGCACCCUGUGUACAAAAGUUACCACCAAGGCCUUGUCCUCCAGCAUCCCGUGUAACAGAGUUACCACCAAGGCCCUCUCCUCCAGCAUCCUGUGUACCAGAGCCACAGCAGGAGUCCUGUCCACUGGAGAUGAAGACAUACACAGAGACAGAAGCAGAGACAAAGGUAGAAUGUGGCUCUGUGCCAAUCACAGAGCUGGGGAGAUCAGAACCUGAACCAGAUGAGAUAUGGGUGAUGCAGGAGGAAGAAGAGAAGGAAGAGAAAGAAGAGAGAGAGAAUGCGCACAUCACACUGAUGCUGGGGAGGAGAGAGGAGGAGGACAGACAGAGGGGAGCCAUUGAGGAGGACAGCAGAGAUUCUGGAAGUUUCUCUCUGGAAGAGAACAGAGACGCCCUUAGCAGUGCACUGUCAAUUGAAGAGGGGGAACUGGAGGAGGAGAGGAUGGAAUGGGAGAAGAGGGAACAGAGGCGCAGCCUGGAGACAGACAGGGCCAGCAGCUCCACAGGAUCCCUGAGCUCCAGAGAGGACAACGGUGAGGUGUUUGACAUUUCUUCAGCGGAGGAGAUGGUGACACCAGCACGACCGCAGACUACUGAGGACCUGUUCGCUGCCAUACACAGCAGUGCAGUCUGGGAAGGCACACACGUUUGACAACCCAGGUGUGUGGGCGUGGCGUUGACAGCAGCGGUUCGGUUCAAUGAAAUUGCGUGGGCAUGUCACACGUGGAUAUUCCAAGGAGAUGAACGACAGUAUAUUUAUUGAGACAAUGCUGAAAUAGCUGAAAACAACAAUCCAUGGGUGAAUCAGUGCCACAUUACAUUUCUUUGCAGAAAUGGAGAAGUUAUCCUGCAAAUUUAGAUGAUGUUGGUAAAUAUAAAAAUAUAUAUAAAAAAAUGUAUUGUUCUGCUCAUACCCAGGACAGAGGCUCCCGUCUGCGGCCAAGGGACUUUAUAUGUAUCCUGCACAUGGGGGAAACUGAUUGGAAGUCAAGUCAACUGAAACAUUCUGGUCUCCAGACUGGCUGUUGUUAUAGGAUGGUUGUCUCUGUUAAUAGAUUACAGGACUGUGUACAUGUUGUUUUUUGAUGUGUUGCUUCAGUCCUCUGUCUAAUUUUAGUAUGUAGCGGUAUACAGUUUGAGAUUAAUGUUAAACUGUAUAUUAAAAAUGUAUUCUGAAGUUUCAGUUACCAAAGACAACAUGUCACUCCCAGUGAAUCGGCAGCAGGGGGACAUGUCUGAGAAUGUUUCCUUGAUCGUGAUUGGCCUAUUGUUAUCAUGAUUGUGAUUGGCCUAUUGUUAUCAUGAUUGUGAUUGGCCUAUUGUUAUCAUGAUUGUGAUUGGCCUAUUGUUAUCAUGAUUGUGAUUGGCCUAUUGUUAUCAUGAUUGUGAUUGGCCUAUUGUUAUCAUGAUUGUGAUUGGCCUAUUGUUAUCAUGAUUGUGAAUGGUCCAGAAAUUGGAGGAAUGGAAUUUGCUGAAGUGAUUUAUAUUUAUAUUAUUUUAUACUUAAACCUCUUUAAAUCCUCUAUUCAUUUUUUAUUUGACUUUAAAAUAUAUAUAGAAUGUAGUAAGUACAUGCUUAACAUUGCAGAGUUCUCCUCUCAUUAUAAAGUAACUUCUGUCUCCUUUAUAUUACUGCACCUUAAUACCUGGACUUUGUACAUUUUCUGACACUUGAUUUCGGUAGAGGGCUUGUUUGUGUUUUUCUAGUCUAUUUAUUUGAAAACUGUGAAUAAAAUUGGGCCCACUGUUUAUCAGAGUUAUCACUGGUGCUAGAUAUGGGGUUUAGGGUUUAGAAGAUAGAGGUUAGAGGUUAGAGGUUAGAGGUGGAAUGUUGAGAGACUGAGUUUCUAUGGAAUAUAUGACAUAUCUAGAGUGAUGAAGUGAGGUGGAUGAGAGAGAGAGAGAGAGAGAGAGACAGAGAG
This 3065-nucleotide long non-coding RNA is filed under the name Salmo salar (Atlantic salmon). Its description in RNAcentral is "lncRNA (ENSSSAG00000086758.1, ENSSSAG00000121495.1)". Lineage: Eukaryota; Metazoa; Chordata; Actinopteri; Salmoniformes; Salmonidae. The record is from RNAcentral.